UGGCAUAUCAAAAGCGGAGGAAAAGAAACUAACAAGGAUUCCCCUAGUAACUGCGAGUGAAGCGGGAAAAGCUCAAAUUUAAAAUCUGGUGGUCUUUGGCCAUCCGAGUUGUAAUCUAGAGAAGUGUUAUCCGCGCUGGACCGUGUACAAGUCCCCUGGAAUGGGGCGUCAUAGAGGGUGAGAAUCCCGUCUUUGACACGGACUACCAGGGCUUUGUGAUGCACUCUCAAAGAGUCGAGUUGUUUGGGAAUGCAGCUCAAAAUGGGUGGUAAAUUCCAUCUAAAGCUAAAUAUUGGCGAGAGACCGAUAGCGAACAAGUACCGUGAGGGAAAGAUGAAAAGAACUUUGGAAAGAGAGUUAAACAGUACGUGAAAUUGUUGAAAGGGAAACGCUUGAAGUCAGUCGCGUCUGCCAGGGAUCAACCUUACUUUUGUGAGGCGUACUUCCUGGUUGAUGGGUCAGCAUCAGUUUUGGUUGCUGGAUAAAGGUCAGAGAAAUGUGGCACCCUCGGGUGUGUUAUAGUCUUUGAUCAGAUACAGUGGCUGGGACUGAGGAACUCAGCGCCGCAAGGCUGUCUUAGGAUGCUGGCAAAAUGGCUUUAAUCGACCCGUCUUGAAACACGGACAAAAGGAGUCA
Molecule: ribosomal RNA, 636 nt
Filed under: Pleurotus subareolatus
Lineage: Eukaryota; Fungi; Basidiomycota; Agaricomycetes; Agaricales; Pleurotaceae
Description: LSU rRNA
Rfam family: Eukaryotic large subunit ribosomal RNA
Source: RNAcentral